This 125-nucleotide non-coding RNA is filed under the name Candidatus Blastococcus massiliensis. Its description in RNAcentral is "SAM riboswitch (S box leader)". It matches the Rfam family "SAM riboswitch aptamer (S box leader)". From Rfam's summary of the family: The SAM riboswitch is found upstream of a number of genes which code for proteins involved in methionine or cysteine biosynthesis in Gram-positive bacteria. The SAM riboswitch acts at the level of transcription termination control. The record is from RNAcentral. Lineage: Bacteria; Bacillati; Actinomycetota; Actinomycetes; Geodermatophilales; Geodermatophilaceae.
CUCAUCCAGAGGGGCAGAGGGACACGGCCCGAUGAAGCCCCGGCAACCGCCGCCUGCGCGUCAGCGCAGCGGGAGGUGCCAAUUCCGUCCUGUGCGGCUCGACGGCCCGACGCAGGGAAGAUGAG